CCUACGGGAGGCAGCAGUGGGGAAUAUUGCACAAUGGGGGAAACCCUGAUGCAGCGACGCCGCGUGAGUGAAGAAGGCCUUCGUUAUGUAAAGCUCUAUCAGCAGGGAAGAAAAUUACGGUACCUGAGUAAGAAGCCCCGGCUAACUACGUGCCAGCAGCCGCGGUCAUACGUAGGGGGCACGCGUUAGCCGGAUUUACUGGGUGUAACGGGAGCGUAGACGGCAGUGCAAGACUGGAGUGAAAGGCGGGGGCUCAACCCCCGGACUGCUCUGGAGACUGUACGACUGGAGUGCAGGAGAGGUGAGUGGAAUUCCUAGUGUAGCGGUGAAAUGCGUAGAUAUUAGGAGGAACACCAGUGGCGAAGGCGGCUUACUGGACUGUAACUGACGUUGAGGCUCGAAAGCGUGGGGAGCAAACAGGAUUAGAUACCCGGGUAGUC
RNAcentral lists this ribosomal RNA (440 nucleotides) under uncultured bacterium. Its description in RNAcentral is "partial 16S ribosomal RNA". It matches the Rfam family "Bacterial small subunit ribosomal RNA", at positions 338 to 795 of the family's 1533-position model. The record is from RNAcentral.